This is a long non-coding RNA of Prunus persica (peach), 584 nucleotides long. RefSeq lists it as uncharacterized. The record is from RefSeq and is a predicted model, not a curated record. The transcript has 2 exons. NCBI's taxonomy places the organism in Eukaryota, Viridiplantae, Streptophyta, Magnoliopsida, Rosales, Rosaceae.
UUAGAGAGAAGAAGAAUUGUUAAGAAAAAGAGUGGGAGAUUGAGUUUGUGGAUGCGGUGGAAAAUUGGAAAAACACCUUACAUUUCUAGCAAAAGCUUUGGUGUCAAGGUCUCCGGGAUCCCACAGUGCACAUGAUUUUUAUUAGGUGAUUCGGGACUGACGACAGGGAGUUAGACAAGAUGACUAACAAAAAGGGAAUUAUGGGAUGAUUGAGUUGGGUAUAAAUGGGCAUUCGGGACCAAGUAGCAUAAGCAUAGUAUGAGACGUGCAGGUCUACUUGUCCAGUUAUAUGAAUUAACGAGAGUAGAUGAAGAGCAUUCCAUGCAUUAUUAUUAUUAAUGUGAUAUUUGGCAGUGUGAUUGUAUGUCACGUAAUUUAGUUAUAUCAAUUUCCUGUGGUAAGGUCUCAUGUCUCUAUUGAGCGGUGGUUGCUCACCCAUCACCCUAUUUAAUUUUUCAGAUGAAUUACUGGGUAAGACAAGAACUAAACCAGUUGACGCUGAAUUAGAUGAGAGUGAUAGAGUUUUAUUUAUUUCUUGUAAAGUUGUAAGAUUUUGGAGUUAUUUUUAUAAGAGAAGUUUAUUU